Molecule: ribosomal RNA, 477 nt
Filed under: Brachymeria phya
Lineage: Eukaryota; Metazoa; Arthropoda; Insecta; Hymenoptera; Chalcididae
Description: eukaryotic LSU rRNA
Source: RNAcentral
AAACCGUUCAGGGGUAAACCUGUGAAACCCAAAAGAUCGAAUGGGGAGAUUCAUCGCCAGCGGCGUGGGCUUCCUUGUGGUUUGCGAUGUUCGGGGCUUCGGCUUCGGGUCACGCUUCCGCUGUGGUAUGUCCUGCGCUGUCGGCGUGCACUUCUCCCCUAGUAGAACGUCGCGACCCGUUGGGUGCUGGCCUACGGCCCGGCUUGGUCGACUGUCGCGUCGCGUUCACGCGCGCACACGGCAGACCGUCGGUUUGCCCGGCCUGCUGCCCGGCGGUAUAGAUCGCUAUAAAAUUGGUAUUGGGCCGCAUUAAGUGCGUUCAGGCACGUUGGCAUGCCGCGUCUCGCUCGGAUUUACGGACCUAGUGCCGUUGCCGGGUGCUUGACGUGGUCAUUCGUCGACGGUGUCCUCGGACUGGCUCUUACAUUCGAACGGAUAUACCGGUCGGCGACGCUACUGCUUUGGGUACUUUCAGGA